This 17509-nucleotide long non-coding RNA is filed under the name Pelobates cultripes (western spadefoot toad). The record is from RNAcentral. Lineage: Eukaryota; Metazoa; Chordata; Amphibia; Anura; Pelobatidae.
CAAUGUACUUCCGGGUUCCUAAAUCUUGCCUCCACUUCCUUAACAACCAGACAUGGACGGUGUAAAAAAUAUAUUUUAUUUAAUUACGUGGAUUGCUUUGGCUUUUUUUUGGCUGUAUGGUAGUGGGUUCUUGUUUAUUAUUUUCAUGUUAGGAAUUUUUGCAUCGUUACUUAUCUGUAACAAAAACCCAGAGGGCAAUGGACAUGUUUGUGUGCUGGUUCUGGGAGACUUGGGUCGCAGUCCACGGAUGAAUUAUCAUGCCUUAUCUCUGGCUCGACACGGCUUCAGCGUCACAUUAACCGGAUUCCUCGGUAAGAAUACUAUUGUUGCACGUAGAAUUCACACAAUUCCACGUUACUGGAGACCUUCGCGUAUCCAGUCUUACUUUCGCAUUGUGUCUCUGGUGGGUAGUACUCGUUAAGUUGUAUGAGUGUCUCUGAUGUUUAAUACUCCAUAAAUGGUUGUAGUAGAGAAUUUUAUUUUAAUGUUGCAACGUCAUUAAUUCGAAAAUAAAUACAUAAACCAUAUUAUUAAACAGUCUCAAUUUCUAAAUUGUAGCUGUCAUUUGCGUGGAGUAUUAAAAUAUUUUCGAUCAACAAUAAUACUGUUGGAAUUCAAUCGAUUCUGAAAGUUUAUUCAUUUAACAAUGAAUAGAAAACUAUUGCAGUUCGAUCUUUAGUUAACCACAAUUCAUCAUUAAGAGAAUAAACUUAUUUUGAAUGAAGAACUCACAUUUAGAGACCUGGAUGUUAACAUACAUAAUGUGUGUCCAUAGAUCAUAAUGUAAUAUGUAGAAGACAUUUAAGGGUUACUAUAUCCUCUAUGACCACUUUUGCAUUUGGAAGUGGGCAUGGGGCAAGGGAUCUGUAUGGGCUGUGUUUCUACCUAAAAAUGUUGCUCAUAUCGCGAUAUGAGCAGUUUUGUCCCCAGGGUCUAGUACAGACCUGCACAACUUGGAAGUUGGUAGGGCCAAAAUUAGAAAAAAAAUUAAACGUCUUUGGGCUGCAGAUAGGUUUUUAGUGCCUCACUUUUCAAGUAAAGGUAUAAUUAAAGGACUACUAUAGGCACCCAGACCACUUCAGCUUAACACCUUAAGGACACAUGACAUGUGUGACAUGUCAUGUUUCCCUUUUAUUCCAGAAGUUUGGUCCUUAAGGGGUUAAUGAAGUGGUCUGGGUGCCAGGUCCAGCUAAGUUUAACCCUUUUUUCUAUAAACAUAUGAAACUGCUAUGUUUAUAAUAGGGUUAAUCCAGCCACUAGUGGCUGUCUCAUUGGACACAGACACACACACACAGAAAGAUACACACAUACUAACAAACACAAAUACUGAAACAGACAUACACACAUAUACAGACACAUACACAUUCAUAAGGAGAUACAGAUAUACACACACACACACACACACACACACACACACACACACUGACGUACAUACAUACUCACAUACAGACAUACAGACAUACAAACAUGUUGCAGAUACACACACACACAUACAUACAUACAUAAUGGCAUACACACAUACUGAUAUACAUACAGACAUACACACACAGACAGAUAUAUACAUACUGAAAUACACACACAUACAUACACACACACACACACACACACAUACAGCUAGACACAUACACACAGACAUACAUGCAUACUGAUAGAUAUAUACAUACACACAGACAUACAUACAUACAUACAUGCAGACACAUGCAUAUACACACACACACCUCAUUUAUUAGCCACCCUCCUCUUCCUUACCUUUAAGUUGCAGGAGGGUGGCUGGGGAUGAUGGGAGUGGAUGCUUCUCCUCUCCUCUCCUCGGCUGUCUCUCUCCACCCGCGUGGAGUAAGCUGGGAGGAAGUGAUCGACCGUCACUUUCUCCCAGCAGCAUUUGCAGUGCAGCCGCAAGUUUUUUUAAAGGGGCCCGGUCGCGCUAUUACCCUGCCACAGCGCUGACCGGGCCCCUGAAAAUAUAGGGCUCAUCGGGUGGCCCUAAAUGCUUGGGCCACCUGAUGGGCCCCGGUGCAGAUGCAUCUGCGGCAGUUAUGCCGCUCCACGUGGGGCCCGGGCCCGUGACAACCGUCAUGGUUGUCAUCCCCUGAUGGCGGCCCUGCCCACAGCACCAUGAAUUUGUUUUCCCCCAACCCCUCUGUGUCUACCUGUGUCUCCACUCAGCCCCUGUCUGUCCCCUUCCCUAAUCUGUGUCUCUCUUUUGCCCCUUCCCCAACCCCUUUGUGUCUUUUCCCCCACAGCUAAACUAUAUGUCUCUUUCUUUCCCAGCCCCUUUUGUGUGUCUCUUUCUUCCCUUCCCAACCGCUGUUUGUCUUUUCUCCCCAGCACCUUGUAUUUUUCUCCCCCUGCCACUAUGUGUCUCUACACCCCCUUCUGGGUGUCUCCCCUCAUUCCCUGUCUAUCUCUUUUGCCACUUCCCCAAUCUGUCUGUAUCUCAUUGUGUACCCCAGGCCCCUGUCUGACUCUGCUGCCCCUUCCCGUUUUUUUUGUCCCCCCCCAGCCCCUCUGUGCUCACUUAUCUCUGGUAGCGUGGCGGAGCUAUGGACAAGAGUAGAGGAACUCCUGGAACCUCUUCCCGGUCUUCCUGUCAGACUGGGUAGAGCUUACAUGAGCUCUUUUCCCUGGUCCGUGGCUCUGCCACGCUACAUGCUGUGACUGGCAGUAGAGGAGUGCUCCCCUCCUGCUCGUAAAAUAGAUUCUACCCCUCCCGGGCCGGUGCGCCCUAAUAGUAGCACCAGCUCUGGGACCUUACGCACUGCAUGGAAACCAUUGCCAGGCUGCAUGUUCUGCAGGCCUGGUCUAGUAGUUGCACCUCUGGAACAUGUGACUUAGGCAGUCGAGAAUUCUAUUCUUGGCUGCCUAAUGUUAAUUCUGUGCAAAAAUUACAUCAGUUGUCAACGGGCAUUGUGUGCUAGCUACAUACUGAGCUUCUAUCCUUGAAGGCAGCUCUGGGAGCGUGCCAGCAGGAGAAGCUUGAAUCACCCUUCUCCUCAGACAAGAAAAUUCCAGAUUGCAUGUAGGCUGUGGUGGAGGUGGGGAGCAGUGCCCAUGGGAACCUAGCUAAGAAGUCAAACUUGUCUAAACUAUUGAAGUGGUUAUGGGACUUGAGGACCUUUGACUUUUGAAAGUCUUCAUGUUCGGCACGGUGGCUGUGUGUAAUAUACAUGUGUGAAUGCUGGGUGUCUGCGGUGGUGCUGCUCUAUAUUUUGCCCCCUCUUGCAUACUCUUCUGAAGGUAGGUAGUAAUGAUCCCUGGUCUUCCAUUGGUGAUCUAUAUUCCUGGUGAUCUAACCGAGGUCUUCAUUCCUUGAUGGCCAGUGCUGGAGCGUGUGAUGCAGCGUUUCUGGCAGGUAUAGGCCCCAGUGAUCGCACUUUCUGGACCUGGUACUCACAGGGUUAUUCAUUAUAGUGAGAAUUCAAAAUGCGUUUAAAAUUUAAGAUCUAAAUAAUUAAACUAAUUAUAUGAUACCAAUAUACACCCCAAAAGUGCAAGGUGGAAAAAAAUAAAUAAAUCAACUUCGCUUAAAAGUAUACAUAGCUAAAGGUCAGCUAUGCUUUUAUUUCGGUUACACUUCCCUUAAAUUUGAAAUUGUAUUUGAAUUUUUUCUUUAGGAAAUAAGCCUGUCCAUGAUGAGUCAGAGCACAGAUUGUAGAACCAGGUGAUUGUGCUUUAAGUCCUUCAGUUAGCAAUAGGAAGCUUAAAGGGACACUAUAGUCACCAGAACAACUACAGCUUAUUUAAUUUGUUCUGCUGAGUAUAAUCAGUCCCUUCAGGCUUUUUGCAGUAAACACUGUUGUUUUUUUUCAGAGAAAAGGCAAUGUUUACAUUACAGCCUAGGGAUACCUCAGGUACCUACUAGAGGUGCUUCCUAGGGCAGUGCUGCAAAGACAUUCAGUGUCUCCACCCUCAGCAUGGAGACACUGAACUUUACUCAUAGAGAUGCAUUGAUUCUGUGGUGCUGGCUCUGCCCUGAUCUUCCUCUUUGACAAACUCAGCCAAUUCAAUGCUCUCCUAUUGGAAAGCAUUGUUAUUGGCUCAGAUCAUAACUUCUGAUUAUAUCAGCCAAGGAGGCAGAUCAGGGGCAGAGCCAGCAGCAGCAGACUGGAAUAUAAGUAAGAUUUUACUAUAUUUAGGGAGGGCAGAGGGGAUAGUGUUUUGAACACUAUAGGAAUAUAUGUUUGUGUUCCUGACUCUAUAGUGUUCCUUUAAAGUGUUAUGUAUCUGCCAAAGGUGCAGACCAUAUACAUGCUCCUUAUUUGCAAUGGGUUCGCUAUUGUCAAAAAAGUCACUGUUCAGUAGAUACAUAACCAAAUGAAAACACGUACGCAUUUAUUUCUGCAUUUUUUUCUUUGGGCGCAUAUCUAAAAAAUAAACAAACAAACCUGCAAACCUUGUCAUUGAGAUGCCUCUGAUUUUGAGAUGCAAGCUGGACCAUAUACUAACUGCAAAGAUAAAAAAAAAAAAAACUAUGGGUUACAAUUGAUUCCCUUUUUUCCUUUUACAAUUUUUUUUUAAAAUAAAUUAUAUGGAUAAUGCUUUAAAUAACAGAAAAAUAAAAUAAAUGAAAAAGUAAAACAGAAAGCGGAUGGAUCAAGAACCUUAGAUUGGCAUCUGCAGCUUAGUAGCAUCAUAAUCACUACGUCUUCAUCUAGUCUUUAUGGUGCUUAGACUGCUCCUUUUGAUCUAUGCAAGAUUUGGCUAUUGCAAUUUUGGGCACCUGUCCUAAAGAAGGAUAUUAUGGCACUAGAAAAAGUGCCAAGGCGGGCUACAAAAUUAAUAAAAGGAAUGGAACAUAUCAGCUAUGAAGAAAGGUUAACACAUUUAAACCUAUUUAGUUUAGAAAAACGUCGCCUAAGAGGGGAUAUGAUAACAUUAUACAAAUAUAUUCGGGGCCAAUACAAACCAUUGUUUGGAAAUCUAUUCACAAACCGGACUUUACUUAGGACCCGAGGUCAUGCGUUUAGACUGGAAGAAAGAUGAUUUUGUCUUAGGCAAAUGAAAGGUUUUUUUACUGUAAGAACAAUAAGGAUGUGGAAUUCUCUGCCUGAAAAAGUGGUUUUAUCAGAGUUUAUACAGAUGUUCAAACAGCUAGUAGAUGCAUACUUGCAAAAACAAAAUAUUCAAGGAUAUAAUCUUUCAAUGUAGGGUAAUAACUGCUUGAUCCAAGGAUAAAUCUCCCUGCCAUUCUGGGGUUAAGAAGGAAUUUUUUUCCUAGCUUGUUGCAAAAUUAGAAGUGCUUCAAACUGGGUUUUUUGCCUUCUUUUGGAUCAACAGCAAAAAACAAAUGUGAGGAAGGCUGAACUUGAUGGACGCAAGUCUCUUUUCAGCUAUGUAACUAUGUAACAUACCAGUGGUAAUCGAUUUCAUUUUUAGUUGGACUUUUUAUUGUGGACUUUUUAUAUAUUUUAUUUUUUUCGUAUACACUUUUUUUAUUUUUUCAUAGGCGCUACCUUUACCUUAGUUUAUUCUGUUUACAUCUGUAUUAGGUUGCCAACAAAUAGCCAUCUUACCGAAUGGCAGAUAGUUUAGAAAAUGGGAUUUUGACUGUAAACAUUGGUGAGAGAGAAGAUGGAGUAAAAUAGAAGAUGGGGGGUCAUAUAAUUUACAUUUAUGGCUAUAGUUUGGUUUAGAGAUAAUCCAAUUUUAUGAUUUUUAAAUGUAAUAUAUGCACUAAAUGUAAUAUAGAUCUGGACUGUAAGAGUGUGAGCUGGAAUCCUGGAGGUCCACUGGGGGAGCUAUUUCGUCUGUACUAAUAACUAAUGUUCUUGCACCUGAUAUUGUCACAGACCACAAUGCUCCCUGAAAGAAGUGAGGGAGCGCAUGGAUGUGAGUUCUCCCUGCCGACUCGAGGAGGACUCGCACAGAGCUCAGUGACAGUCUUUGUUGCCUAAUGGGUAAUUAACGUCUAAACAAGAUUACUUUCUGAAAUGACAAUUCAAAAUGAAUUUCACACUUAAGGCAAGAGUAGCUGAAGUGAAAGCAUAGUUGAUUUUGUGAAUUUUCCAGCUCAACUAUUUUUACUUAAAGCGACACUGUCAUGCGAACUUACCUUUCCCCAAUCGCUUCAUCUUCUUUUCCUCUUUUAGAAUCUGUUCUUUUCUUCCUAUCUGAUCUAGUUUUCUUUAAAAUAUAAGACAAAUUAGGGACCACUUUAUCUUAUGUAUUUCUCCUACACUUGAUCUUCUUUGACCAAAGGAGGAGCUUAAAGAGAAACUAUAGUGCCAGGAAAACCUGCCUCUCCCCCAACCCAGGUGGGGGCCAUAAGUGACAAUAGAGGGGAAGGAGCUAUUUUCAUCCCCCCCUGUCCACCACCCAUGUAAAAUGUAAAAAUAACUUGCACCUAGGUGACUAGGGAUCCCCAUGCCCUUAGCCACACCCUCCCCUAUAAAAUAAAAUGCUACCUACCCCACUUACCCUACAAAUAGUGAAGAAGGAGCAAUAAAACUAAAUACCGGUAAAUAAAAAAAAUCAUACUUACUAUUAGAUGUCUAUUUUUUUCUAAAAACCUUCUUCUUUUUUAGCCACAAAAAAGGGCAAAUUAAAAGCCCAUCAAAAAAAAAAAAAAAAGAAGACCGAGCACAUAAUAAAAAUCCAGAUGCUAAAAAUGAAUCCAUCUUCACCUAGCGAGGGUUCCGCGCAGACUGAGCUCUGCAGGGCAGGAAAAGGCUUGUAAAGGAUUCCCACGCCCUGCAGUUUGACUCAGAGCGCUCUGAUUAAUUGGCUUAAGCCCAUCAAUAUGAGUACUCUGACAGGUAAAUCUUGAGCCUUACCUGAUUGGUUACCUAUCAGAGCACUCAUAUGUCCCACCAUGCUCACUGUUUAGUAGACAUACCUCUACUCGUGGCAUAGCAAGUAGAGGCAUUCGGGAGAUUUGAAUCUCCUUAUGCUAAUAUGGGGGUCACAUUGACCCCCAUAGAGUAAGGAGGAACAUGGGGGGUUUUAGAAAGUGGCGGGGAGAACAGCAUCUCACCGCUUCUAGUUUUACAUAUUACAAGGAGGGAGCCACAAGCCGGUAUCUCCAUCCUUGUAAUAAAAUGCCGAACAAGCAAUCAAAUAUCGAAAUUCGGCCUUUGUUCGUUUGUUUGAAAUUUCUAUUCAUUCAUUUGUGUUAAACUUGUAACUUCAUUUUCUAACUUGACAUCUCCUGACGAAAGCUUGAGGGGAUCAAGCUGAAACGUUGACCUUGUGUUGUUUUAGUGGAGGUAAUAAAAGUUAUAUUUUAUAUUAGUCCUUGGAGUGCUAUCUCUGGCAUAUAUAUAUAUAUAUAUAUAUAUAUAGCUUUUUCCAAUAUAAAAUAUUGGUCCUUUCAGAGUAAAAUUUUUAAUUAUACAGUAAGCAUACUCACAUGCAUACACAGACAAUCUCACUGACAAGCUGACUGAUACACAGCCUCAUACAUAAGGUUACUGACAUAAAAACACAAGCUCACUCAGUAGCAGUCACACACACACACACACACACACACACACACACACACACACACACAGCUUAAUGUAGUGGUACUGGUGUCUAUAGCCUGUCCCUGCAGGCUUUUCAAUGUAAACACUGACUUUUAAGAGAAAAGGCAGUGUUUACAUUCCUUCCUAGUGACAGACACUCAGACGGUCACUAGAGGUGCUUCCUGUGUCAGUGCGGAUUGGCUGAGAUCAUCAAGCUUGAUGAUCUCAGCCGUAGAGGCAGGGCCAGGCGAGGGGAGACCAGCAUGAGGUGGAAAAAAAAAAAAAAAGGUGAGUAAAAACACACAUACACACACACAUACCAUGACAGGCACACACCAUGACACAGACAGACCGUGACACAGACAGAAACACACACACACACCAUGACAGACAGACACACCGUGACACACACAGACACAUAUUACAUGACACAGACAAACACACACACAGACACACAUUACAUGACAGACACACACACACCAUGACAUAGACACAAAUUGCAUGACACAGACAGAUGAACACACCAUGACAUGACAGACACACAUGACACACACACAAAUGACACAGACACACACACACACAUACACAGUUUCUACCUGUGGGGAGCUCCUUUGGUGGCCCCGGUCUCAUUAAGCGGCGCGCAGGGGAGGGGGAGCAGAGACACAACAGCCAGCUCCCCCUGCGGCCGCAGGAACAGCCAGCAAACCCUGCGGCCGCCAAAGGAGCUCCCUCUGCGGCCGCAGGUGAGCCAGCUGGCUGCCCGGCCCCAGGUGCCGACGGCCCACCAGGAAAUUUCCCGGUAUCCCGGUGGGCCAGUCCGGCCCUGGCUACCCCAAACAAUGAGUUGAACCCAUUUCCCGAGACACUGGCAGAUUGAGCAGUGUAAAGACUCAUAAUCCUAUCAAGUAUAGACCCUGUGACUCCGAACACCUCCAAGACAUCCGACAGAUAGCACCAGCUAACUCUGUCAAAGGCAUUUCGGCAUCCAGAGCCACAAAGGCCACCGGGGAGGAAAUAGAUUUGCAGAUAUGGAUCAGAUGUAACAGUUUGCAAACGUUAUCGCCUCCCUCACGGUCCUUAACAGAGCCUGUUUUAUCAGGAUGAACUAAUUUGGUAAUGAAAUCCUUUAAUCUCUCUGCUAGGAUCUUGGAAAAUAUUUUAAUAUCGGUAAUCAACAGGGAUAUGGGGCGAUAGUGACGAAAUUAUGAUCUUGGUCUGGUUUAGGAAUCGGGGUUAUACAGGCCUGCAGCAUUUUCAAUGGGAAUGGGCAACCCUUAUCUAUUUCUCCAAAUACUUUUAGUAUGUUUGGAGCUAUGGUAGGCUCCAUUAUUUUAUAGAAACAGGCUGUGUAACCAUCCGGCCUUGGGGAUUUUCACUCCUUAAGGUCUUUAAUAGAUUUAGAGAUCUCCUCCAGAGUCAGAGGAGAACUCAAUUUCUUCAAGUCAUCCUUGCCCACUCUUGGUAAUUUAAAUUUUUUGAGAAACUGUCAGCCUGCCUCUGAGGUUGCCCGUUCCGAUGGGAGAUUAUACCAAGCCCUGUAAUAUGAGGCAAAAGCUUUACUUAUAUCUGAUGGAGAGAUAUUAACUUUGUCUCCCUCAAUUAUCUUCCUAAUUAUUUGGCUUAUUUAAUUGAACUUAAGUUUGUCCGAAAAAUGCUUGCUAACUCUAUUAUCCCCAUGGUACCAACUUUGGUUCAAUUUUAUUAUGGCUCUGUUUGUUUCUUUUUCUAAUUUAUCUCUUAUUUCCAAUUGGGUCUCCCUGAUUUGAGCUGAUCUCAGAUCUGUAACCAUUUUUCUAUUUUCCUCCUCCAAUUUAGCUAAAAGAAUUUACAAAUCAUUUAAAUCUUUCCCACAGGAUUUCUUGCGUUGGGCCCCCAGCUUAAUUAGAAUACCUCGCAUGACGCUUUUCAAGCGUGUGCCUCUGCUAACCUCAUCAUUGUCAUUAUUCAAAAAGAAUUCUUCAGCCUGUCUUAGCAGAUACUUCCGGGUUUCAUCUGAAUGUAUAAGUUCUUCAUUCAACCUCCAGGAAGUUCUGCCCUCUCUCGGCCCAUUUUCCACUAUCUGUACAAGUACUGGGGCAUGAUCAGACCAGGUAAUUAUAGCAAAUUUUGAUUUCCAAAAUUCGACCAGGUUGCAGCUUUUAGUUAAAAAUUGAUCAAUUCUUAAAUAACAUUUGUGAACUUUCGAAAAAAAUUAAUAAAUCGCGGUUGUUAGGGUGUGCCCUCUAGAUGUCAAAUAGGCCGAAUUCAUGCAGGACUUCCUGGAAGGAAAUACUAUUGCUCUUACUCCCACUUUCCAACUCCUUCAUGCAAUAUUUCUAUGUUUUAUCUGCUUUUAUAUCCGGUACCAUAUUCCCAGCAAUCAACAGGAUUCCUUUUUUGACCUUAUCUAUUUAAGAAAAUAUUUUUUUAAAGAACUUUUGAGAGUAUACGUUUGGAGAGUAAACAAUAACAAGGGUGUAGCAGAUGUCAUUUAUAGUACAUAUCAAUAUCAAGUAUCUUCCUUCGGGAUCUUUUAAUUCUACAAUCAGCUCAAAUUUUUACCAUUCUGCGAGGAUAAUUGCGACUCCUCUUGUCUUUUUAUUUGGAAGACCGGAGGAGAAAAACCUAGGAAAUGGUAAAACGCCAUCGGUGUACUUCACCAGUUUUCCAAUGGGUCUCCUGCACAAAGCAUAAAUCGGAUUUGUUUUUUUACUACUAAGCCAUAUAAAUAGCCUCUUUUUUUAGUUGUAUUGAGACCCUGUGCGUUGAUUGAAAAGACUUUUAAUGUCAUCUAUACAGAGCCCACCGAAGUCCUCCCUGCCAACGCCUCACACAACCGGGACAAGACAUACACUCUUACAUUCAUCCUUACUGUCUUAAGACUGUCUAAAUAAACAGAAUCCUGGUCUAUAUUUCUAUCUAGUAUAAUCCCAGUUGCUGACAGGAUCGGGGGAAUAGAUGGAGUCUAAUGCAUUCAAUGUUCCUUCCCAAUCUACCUCUCCCAGUGGAAAAAUAAAUAAAAAAUAAAAAAACACUUCUCCCUUUGCAAAUUUCUUAACUUUUCUUAAGUAAAAUCCCUCAUACACUCUCUCUCACCAAUAUUUCCUAUAAUAGACUUUCUUUUUCCUUCUUUAAAUUGUGUGUGAUAAAUUCUAAACCAUAUAAAGUGCAUUCCAAACAUUAAUUCUAAGUACUAAAUUUAAAUACGUGUUAAGUGCUGAUUUAUUUAUCAAAGAACCUCCCCUCCUUUUACAAUUAUUUAUUUUACAAUUGUUUCUUCUAAAGUAGAAAGUCCCUCAUAUUUUCUCACCAAUAUUUCCUAUAAUCAACUUUUUUCAUUUCCCCCCUUUUAUUUUUUUUAAAUUAUUAUAUGCGAUAAAAUAUUUGCCAUAUAAAGUGCAUUCCAAAACUAGCACCUUGCAUGGGUAUACAAACCUAUAAUGGCACUUUUGCAUGAUUACUAAAUUAGCAUACGUGUUAAAUGAUAAUUUAGUAAUCAUGCAAAAGUGCCAUUUUCUAUUCCGUUUUCCUUCUUUACAUUAUUAUUUACGCCUACAAAAAUUAUUUUAAGGUAGUUUCCUUCUGAGUUAUAGGUUUGUAUACCCAUGCAAGGUGCUAGUUUUGUGCAACACAAAUCCACCUGCGGGGAAAAGAGAAAAAAAAAUAAUUCUCUGUGAACAGAUUGGUUGGCUUAUUAAAAGACAGAGCACAGUGUAUUCUCAGUGCGGAGUGUGAGUGCUCACUGAACGGAGUGUCUCUGCAGGCAGAUUUUAUUUUUACCUGGCAUUUUUAUCACCCUGGAAUCAAGUAAUCCUAGGUGUGGAUCAUACCACCAGCGCUAUCUUCAAGGAGCAGUUGGUCUGCUCCUUCCUUGUGAGUACCAUUUUAUAUAUUUUAUUUCCAUUAUUUUAUCCAGUGAGCACUAUUGGUUGUCUCUUUUUUUUUUUAUUUGAGUGUUGAACAUACCAUUGACGGAGGAAGUUUACCCCAUAUCCCAUAAGCGGGGAUUGUACCGCUGUACGCCUUUUACACUAGAGGUAGCUAUAGCUCCUGUACAUGUGAGUUUUAUACCAGCCUUUUAUAUUUAAUUUGUUUUAUUAUUGGACUUAUUGCAUUAUUUGGUUCUCUAUUUGUUUUGUCUCUUGCGUAUGAGUGGAUCUACACGGAUGAGGACAGCGAGGACAUUGUUCCUGACCAAGCACUUUAUAGACUCUGCGACUCCAAUAAGAGCAUUUUAGAUAAGACUCUUUUUAUUUGGACUAUCUGUUAUUAUUGUUUUACAUAAAGUCUCUUUGGCGCAGCCCUUAUUUCCCAUAUUUUCUUCUUUUGUCGUACCUUAAGGGUUUUUGAGGGAUUCCCUUAUAGGGUUGCUGCCCCAUUUUGUUAUCUAGCGCUUACUCUUUUUUCUUGUCUUAAAAUACUUUAACCUCCAAGUAUAAACAAACACUUUAAGCUGCAGUUGUACUGUGGACAAGAGUGUAAAGUGGCUGCUUAGGAAGAGAUUGACUAAGCAGCAUACUCUUUGCUAUGAAUGAAAUUGGUUAAAGCUAGGAUUAAGUCUCAAGUAGUUUUAACCCACCCAAACACUUCAACCUACAGUUGUGCUUCAUGCAGGAAUGUAAAAUAACUGUUAACAAAGCAACAUACUUUCUGCCAAAAGAAAAGAUUGGCUAGCGUUCAGAUUAAAUCUUAAAACGCAGUUACCUCUAGAGAUAUUCCAAAUACACCUCCCGAAAUAUUCCAAUCACCUACUGCUAUGUUCAGAACCGAAGUGCAAAAUAACUGCAACCUGCAGCUAUAAUUCAUGCUGGACUUCAUGUAGAAAUGUUAUGCAACUGCUUAAAGUAAAAUUGACAAAUAAGUAACUCUUUGCUCAUUGUAAUAUUGAUAAACCAAUACGCUCCUUGUUGUAUAAGAAGUUGGUCAAAGUCAGGGUUAAAUCUCCAUACACUCUGACCACCAGAUAUUUUCCAGAUAGUUUAACCUCCAGGUUUAAUCCAAACAGGAGUGAGAAAAAAAACUGUUUAGGGUGGUAUCUACUAAGCAGUAUACUAUUUUGCUGUAAAAGAGUUUGGUAAAUGUCAAGAUUAAAUCUCAGGAAACUUUCACCACCAGGUAUGUUCCAGCCUUAUGUUAACCAACAGCUAUAAUCCAAACAAGAAUGUAAAGUGGCUGCUUAAGGUGAUACUGUCCAAGCAGUACACUAUUUACUAUUACAGAGGCUUGUCAAAUCAGGGUUAAAUCUCACAGUACUUCAUCCCCCAACUAUAUCCCUGACAGGGUUGUAGGGUAACUAUUUAUGGUAGAUUUGACUAAUAAGUAUUCAUUUUGCUAUUAGAAAACAUUUUUGUUCAGUAAACCUCAUUACUGUUUGUGUAUUUCUACACCACUUCCACCACACUUAACCUGGCAAAGUUAUUCCCUUAAGCGAGUUUACCAACAGAAUCUUAAACUUAUCUAAGCUGUCAGCAGUCCCAGGUGUAGUAUAAAGUAGAUGUUCCAGAUAGAUCUCUCUUUUGCUAAACCGGUGUUUCUCUGGAGGUUUAAUAUUUACAGGUGAUACUCGAAAAAUUAGAAUAUCUUGAAAAAGUUCAUUUAUUUCAGUAAUGGAACGUAAAAGGGGAAACUAAUCUAUGAGAUUGAUGCAUUACAUGCAAAGCAAGAUAGUUCAAGCCGUGAUUUGUCAUAAGUGCGAUGAUUAUGGCUUACAGCUCAUGAAAACCCCAAAUCCACAAUCUCAGUAAAUUAGAAUAUUUCAUUCAAUCAAUAAAACAAGGAGUGUACUUAGAACAAUAUCAGACCUCUGAAAAGUAUAAGCAUGCAAAUGUUCAAUGACCGUGGGAUGCACAGUAAUCCCACGGUCAUUGAACCAGGCUUUGGUGCCUUUGGCAGUGUGGGCAGGUGCCAAGUCCUGCUGGAAAAUGAAAUCAACAUCCCCAUAAAGCUCGUCUAUAGAAGGAAUCAUGAAGUGCUCCAAAAUCUCCUGGUAGACGGCUGCGUUGACCCUGGACUUAAUGAAGCACAGUGAACCAGGAUAGUCUGUGUGUGGUGGCUCUUGAUGCACUGACUCCAGCCUCAGUCCACUCCUUGUGAAAGUCCCCAACUCUUUUGAAUAGCCUUUUCCUGACAAUCCUCUCCAGGCUGUGGUCAUCCCUGCUGCUUGUGCACCUUUUUCUUCCACACUUUUCCCUUUCACAUAACUUUCUAUUAAUGUGCUUUGAUACAGCAUUUUGGGAACAUCCAACUUCCUUCGCAAUUACCUUUUGAGGCUUUCCCUCCUUAUGGAGGGUGUCAAUGAUGGUUUUCUGCACAACUGUCAGGUCAGAAGUCUUCCCCAUGAUUGGAAUUCCUACUGAACCAAUUAAAGGCUAAAAAAAACCUUUGCAGGUGUUAUGGCUUACUUAGCUGAUUAGAGUGGGACACUGUGCACCUUUUCACAAUAUUCUAAUUUACUGAGAUUGUGGAUUUGGGGUUUUCAUGAGAUGUACUACAGACACCCAGAUUACAUCAGCUCAAUGAAGUGGUCUGGGUGCCAGGUCCCUCUAGUUUUAACCCUGAAGCUGAAAACAUAGCACUUUCAGAGAAACUGCUAUGUUUCAAUGAGGGGUAAUCCAGCCUCUAGUGGCUGUCUCAUUGACAGCCACUAGAGGAGCUUCCGCGAUUCUCACUGUGAAAAUCACAGUGAGAAGAUGCUGAACGUCCAUAGGAAAGCAUUGAGUAAUGCUUUCCUAUGGGCGGUUUGAAUGCGCGCGCGCGCGGCUCUUGCCGCACAUGCACAUUCGGAGCUGAGAGGCGGAUCGGGGCUGAGAGAUCCCCAGAGUCAAGGGAGUCCGGCGCUGAAGAAAGGUAAGUGCUGAAGACACACACUCUCACGAACAGAUGCAUAAACACUAGCUAAUAGACACACACAUUUACUGACAGACAGACACAUACACACUCACUUACAAAAUACACAAUCACUAACAGACACCAAACAGACUCACUAACAGACGCACACAAACUAACACACUCAGUAACAGACACACACAGUAACACACUCACUGACACACUCUAACACACACAUGUUUUUUGAAAAAUGUAAUCCCCCAGCCUCCCUACCUUUGGGGUCCAGUGGAGUUGCUGGGCAGCCAGUCACCGGGCAGGCAGGCUGGCGGGCGCGCGAGGGAGCACUCUUCCCUUAGUGCUCCCUGUUCAGCUCCCUUGCGCGCCGCGUAGUGAUGCUGGAGCUGGAAGAUGACAUUAUCUUCCGGCUCCGGUAUCAGUGCGGUGCGCGAGGGAGCUAGACAGAGAGCGCUCAGGGGAGAGUGCUUCCUUGCACACCCGCCAGCCUGCCCGACCGGUGACACCAGGGCCAGCCCCGGGGGGGGGGCUCUGAUGUGGCCAGCUCUUGGACCCCCCAGGAGGAGAGGCUGGCCACACUGGCAUACAUACCGGGUCGCAGGGUGGCAGUGGCCGCUACCACAUUGCUCAAUUAAUUUGUUACCUAAUUGUUGCCAAUUACCGACGGAGCUCCUUCUUAUGUUCAUCCGUGUAACGAACCUCUCUUACCUGAUCCUGGCUACGCUGACUUCUCCUCUCCCAGACUCGGAACAGACUUCACUACGAUUUCCUCUAACCCUCAAUAUAGUUCAAGGAACCAUAAUCCUCACUAUUCUGGAAAGGACCUCCAUUGUUUACUGGGAUUAAUAAUUAGUUCAUGCCUUCAUACAUUAUUACUGGAGUCUAAAAGACUGUGAUAUUUUUUACCAAAUCAGGAUCCUAGGGCAUGUGGCACCCGGGGCGGAUCCUGGGUUUGGCACCCCUCCUACCCCCCCUUCUCCAAAAAAAGGCGCCACCCUACCCCCCUCUACAAAAUCCCUGCACCCCCUCACACACAGUUACAGGCAGGCAGUCACACACAGUUACACGCACACAGUCACAUGCAGACAGUCACACAUAUAGUCACAGGCAGUCAUACACACAGAUACAGGUAGAGAGUUACACACAAACAGUCAGUUACAAACAGUUACACACAGUCACGCACACUGUUACAGACAGACAGUCACAUAUACAGUCACACACACGGUCACAGGCAGACAGUCAUACACAUACAUACACACACACACAGUUACAGACUGACAGUCACACACAUACACACACACACAGUUACAGACUGACAGUCACACACACACACACACAGUUACAGACAGACAGUCACACACACACACACACAGUUACAGACAGACAGUCACACACACACACAGUUUCAGGCAGACAGUUACACACACACACACACUCUUAUACUUACAUACCGUGUGGGCUGGAGGAGUGGAUUCCCUGACCUGAAGUCCUUCCCUGGCUGGAGGUGGAGGUGCAGGGAUUUCUGCUUGCUGCACCUCCAUGUGCAGCCGUUACAGCAGCUUGUAAGGGCCCUGUUACGCCCUGCCCCUGCUCGCAGUUAGGCUCCGUCCCCAAAUGACAUAGCCCCGCCCCUUCCUCCCGUGCGGCCAGUUUAUCUUGCUGGUCUCUCCGUGUGAGCUGUGUGACACCCCAGCUGCCAUGGGGCACAGCUCACACAGCCCCCUCCAGCCCCAAGACCAGGGUCAAGGCACCCCCCUACCAGGUGGCACCCAGGAGGGACCGCCCCCCCCUUAGUCCGCCACUGUCAGGAUCUACUUAUUUUCAACAUUUGUUAUUGAAAUCUAAAGGACUGUGUAAUAUUCCUAAAACAGGAAUUGCGUAUUUUCUUAUUCAUUAUCUGAAGUCUAAUAGACUAUAUUAUCUAUUCCUAAUUAGGAGUUACCUUGUUUAUUUAUUUCUGCUGAAAUCUAUUUUCUGUGAAGCAAUCCUAAACAAGAUUUACCAUUGCUUAAUGGAAUAUUAUUUUCAAUUUAUAUUGCUGCAGAAGAUUGUUAAAGUGAAAAUUCCUAAAUUCAAUAAAUCAAACUUUCUUAAAGUGACAGUAUUAAAUUUAUUGCUUCACUUGCAGUUGAGUUCCAAAUGAAGUUUUACUAAAAGUAUUACACUCAUCGAUACUUUUUUGACAUGCGUUUUUCUGGAUUUCUGGAUCAAAUACUUUUUUCCCUCACUGUAUACCUACAGAAUAAACAAAAGUUGGUAGUACUCACAGACUUUUAAAAGUAAAAAACUUUGCUUCAUUGUUCCAUCUCAAAAACAUCACAUUGUGUGGUUAAAAAAAAGUUGGUCAGUAUUUCAAUCCUGGCUUGAGACUUUCCUCAGGUCCCUGAAACCAUUUCCUACGUAUGUCCGAUACAUGGCACCCAGCAUACUUAAAGGGACACCGUAGGCACUGUAUCUGCUUCAUCUCAUUAAACUGGUAAUAGUGUAUGGAGUCCCCUGGUGCCAUCAUUUCUUUCAGCAUUAAACAGUUUUUAAUGUUGUAAUGUUUUAAUGCUAAACAAGACACCACGGCAGUCCAUCCCCUCUGUGCUGCUUUGGCUAAUAAGGAAGUAUUACCCUGAGAAGCAAUGGGCAGCUGUGAUUGGCUGAGAGUGUCAGCUGACUGCUUUUAACCUGUCAGAGCUCCAACUGACGGUAUGAAUGGGUAUGACAACAAGGAAGUGUGUAAUCUCUGCCUUAGCUACACAUACAGAAGGGGCCGGACUGUGGGUGGCCAGGGACUCUUAUUUUGUGGCAUACUGCACAAACAUGGUGCAACACUGAAUGGAGGGACAGUGCCAGGGCACUCCAGGCACUAUAACCAAUUCAAAGAGACAAAGUGGUUAUAGUGACUACAGUGUCCCUUUAACUGUGUGUGUGUAUAUAUAUAUAUAUAUAUAUAUAUAUAUAUAUAUAUUACGCACACUUCUAUACAGAAAUGUUUUUAGUCAAAUAGAAAAUGUUAUCUUUGUGCUAACUGUUCUGUAGAUAUUGUUAUUGUCAUUAAACUGUAUUUAUAUGCACAUUUGUUUGUUGAUUAUAACAUUGUUGUCCUUCUGUUUUUAAGAAACCAAUCCACAUCAUAAUGUCCUGAAUCAUGAGAAAAUAAAGAUUUGCCCCAUUUCGAACAUCAAAACAUUGAAAGGUGACUUGUUUCUUUUCCAUAUUUCUAUAUUAUUCAGCCAAAACUUUAACUUUAGUAACAUAAU